RNAcentral lists this ribosomal RNA (393 nucleotides) under Acanthamoeba genotype T15. Its description in RNAcentral is "SSU rRNA". It matches the Rfam family "Eukaryotic small subunit ribosomal RNA", at positions 786 to 1083 of the family's 1831-position model. Lineage: Eukaryota; Discosea; Longamoebia; Acanthamoebidae. The record is from RNAcentral.
CUUCUGCCACCGAAUACAUUAGCAUGGGAUAAUGGAAUAGGACCCUGUCCUCCUAUUUUGCGUGUUGGUUUUCGAGGACCGGGUAAUGAUUAAUAGGGAUAGUUGGGGGCAUUAAUAUUUAAUUGUCAGAGGUGAAAUUCUUGGAUUUAUGAAAGAUUGACUUCUGCGAAAGCAUCUGCCAAGGAUGUUUUCAUUAAUCAAGAACGAAAGUUAGGGGAUCGAAGACGAUCAGAUACCGUCGUAGUCUUAACCAUAAACGAUGCCGACCAGCGAUUAGGAGACGUUGAAUACAAAACACCACCGUGGGUCGGCCGUCCUUGGCCGUCGUGCGCGGCGACGCGCGCGGCGGCGAGGGCGGUGUCUGCCCGACGGCCCGGUGAAUGACUCCCCUAG